Molecule: ribosomal RNA, 502 nt
Filed under: bacterium enrichment culture clone ALO1_GLFRUDD03G9R5T
Lineage: Bacteria
Description: bacterial SSU rRNA
Rfam family: Bacterial small subunit ribosomal RNA
Source: RNAcentral
GAGUUUGAUCGUGGCUCAGGACGAACGCUGGCGGCGUGCCUAACACAUGCAAGUCGAACGGGAACAGCCUGAAGCUUGCUUCGGACUGUUUUAGUGGCGGACGGGUGAGUAACGCGUGAGGAACCUGCCUUUCAGAGGGGGAUAACGUCUGGAAACGGACGCUAAUACCGCAUGACAUCAGAGGGUCACAUGGCUUUCUGAUCAAAGGAGCAAUCCGCUGAAAGAUGGACUCGCGUCCGAUUAGCCAGUUGGCGGGGCAAAGGCCCACCAAAGCGACGAUCGGUAGCCGGGCUGAGAGGCUGAACGGCCACAUUGGGGCUGAGGCACGGCCCAGACUCCUACGGGAGGCAGCAGUGGGGGAUAUUGCACAAUGGAGGAAACGUCUGAUGCAGCAACGCCGCGUGAGGGAAGACGGUCUUCGGAUUGUAAACCUUUGUACCUCGGUGACGAUAAUGACGGUAGCCGAGGAGGAGCGUCGGCUAACUACGUGCCAGCAGCCGCA